GGCAUCCGCCGCCGCGCCCCAGGCCUCCUCCACCACCGCUGCGCCCUGGCCUCCUCCAAUCCCAUGCUCGAGGCGCACCACUCAUCUCCCUCGCACCAUGGGAUCAGGCAGAUCUCCUCCACCAAUGGCCCCUGUCAGUCCAACAUGCUUCCAAGAACCGACGGACGUAGAUUGAUUCCAUCUCUUGCUGGUAAGAAAACACACUCCUAUCGUGUAAAUUUUUAUUCCUGUGAUGCAAUCCAGUCCAGUUCGUUGUCUACCUCCGCAUGAAUGUAAAGAAAUUUGUGAUCUAUGGUCAUCUGAACUGCAGCAUGACUUGCUGAUCUUGGUCUGUAGUUCUCACCGUGAGAUGUGUCCAUUUCUUGCUCGCAAAUUGUGUGUUCACAUGAACCUGAACUUCAUGAGAUGCAAGAAAUCAAUACUGUUCGUGAGUUGCCAACAAAAGUCUCUUGUUGAUCUCUGCACCCUCAAUUCUGGCACAAUACAUAUGUAUCAGCAGUUCAGCACCACGCUCAGUCCAGCAAGAUUAGCAUUGUAUUUUUGCUUCAAUAGCAUCUUGGUCUUUCUGUCUCCAAGGUGUCAUGGUGGUUCCUCUAUUAAUUUGUACGUAGCUUUGAGACCGCAAUGAAAUUGAUCCCUUGAAUUGGAGGGCAACAUACUCAAAUCUAAACAAGUGAAAUUUAAUGUCAUGUGCGUGAUGGACCAAUUCAAUUGGAGGAAGCAAACAAAUAUACUUUCUUCCAUGCCUGGUGAUAACUUCUGAAUUAUUCAGUAAACAUGGUGUUGGCAACAAAUUCAAUAUUCUGACUAUGCCUGGGUGUUAAUUUGUUUAUUUCAUCCUAACUCAAUUAUCCCACUGUUUAAUCACCUUCAGGUUUCAGGAACUAUAUAGUGAGUGCAUUAAGAUGAAUUGGUUGUGUCUUACCAUAUCUGAUUCACCUCUAUACAUUACGUAGAUGUCAAUGAAUUUUAUGUCGUUUUGUCUUUCUGUUGCUAUGACUUGACGUUAGAUUAACGUGCUUCCAUCAAAUAUUCAUAAAGGUAUGCAGAUCCUCAUGGGCGACGAGCGUGUUCUCCCAUCAUGAGCUGAUCGUCCAGUCACCCGUGGUCGUUCAUCCAACUGACUCUCCUGUCCCAGGUCGACAGCAGCCUGCGCUCUUCCACACCGACUCACAGAGGGCAAGAACACCGACCAUCUGCAAGCAACGAGACUACUUGACCACCCCAUGCCAAACAUUGUGAGUGCAUCUUUUGGUCUGCCCAUGCUGGUUGUGAAUGACUGGAGGUGCAUGGCUGACUAAUGCAAAGCGUGCUUGGCUGAAUAAUGCAGUGCUUAGCGCUCAUAUAGUUAGAACAGUUACCAUUCAAAAUUUCUGGCCGACCAGCUUGUUGGUUGUGUCAAUAAUCUCAACCAAUGUGUGCAUACAUUAUCUGGUAGGCAUUGUGAAUUAUCAGGUUGUGGUGUGGCAACGGUAUGCAAUGUGAGUUAUCAGAAAAACAAAUAGUGUCGGAUAAAUUGUAUGUACAGAUUAACAUAAGGGGAAAUGCCGGUAUGCAGUUAUCUCUGAAAUGCCACUCCUGCCUGUGGUUCUGAAAAUGCAUUGAGGUAAUUGGUAUGUGGAGCUAGCCUGCAUAUGCAGAGCUACCCCGCUCUUGCCUCUUUCAGGUAUCCAAGUUAUUGUAAAACAAGCUUCUAUUUUUCAGUCUGAUUUGGCCGGGUGGUACAUUUUAGUCUCCUCAAACUGUGGGUUUCAACUGUAAGCUUCAUGCAUGUGUCCUGCAUCCAUUUGUGCAGUUCUUGAGGUGCAUUGAGCAUGCAUAAAUUAUUUUUUAUUCAUAAAAACAAAAACAUGUUUGAUUACUUCUGUCUAUCUGGAAUGGUGGUGCAAAGUUUUGGUCUUGGCAAGUGUUUGUGUGCCUUUCACUGUUAUAUGUUGGAUUGGACUAUAUUCUUUUGAGAAAUAUAUUGCUAUCUUUUUCAUAUUUGUCAAAUGACUAUAAUAAAUAUGUUUCUCUUGUCUCCUACAGUUCUGUGGUUUAUUAAAGUUGUAGGAAUAUUAAUCUUAGUCAUGUUCUUAGGUUUAGAUUCUUUCUGAUUUCUAAAGAAUGCAAUUGUAGCUUCAAAUCUUGUUAAUUUACUUUAUUUAUUAUCUAUCUUGUUUGUGUAACUUUCUGAUUUCUUUCCUGAAUAGCUUUACAUAAUACAUGUAUUGUGUUCCAGUUCCUAGCUUAAAAUCUAUAGCCAAACAGCAUCCUUUCUCUGUAAAAUGAGAAUGCGUGGGUUCAGCCAUUCAGCCAUUCAGUUAUUUUUGCGGGUGUUGUACCUUUUGGAGCUCUAGCCGUUGAGGCGAUCAGGAAUGAGGAUGUGCCUUAGGACUUAGGGUAUGUGUUUCCAUAAUAUUUUCCUCCUGAAGCGGAACGCUUCAGGUCCUGCUCCGGUGCAUCCAUCAAAAUUACCAGUGUCCAUUUGACCUAUUAGAGAAUGCUUGUAGAUGAACUGAUUUUUGGUACUUGAUUCAUCUACACUUUAUUUCUUUUCUAUGUUAAUAGCAUCUGAAAUAUUUUCCUUUCAUUGGCAAACUAUACUACUUUUCUGAAAGCAUACCUUGCUCAUUGAAAUAACAUGGAUCAACUUACUGCAGAUCUAUUGAGGGGGAUUUGGAGAUGUUGUCUCAAGCAGAAAAGAAGGAAGUGAGAAGUUGCUUGGACAAAUUGUACCUACAUUUUGUUUGCUUUCAGGUUUAAAUUUCUGAUCCAUAGUAGUGGUGGUAACAUGUAGAUCAUUACCAUGUAGAUGUAGUUAACUCUGUAUCAGGAGCUUACACCUAAAGUUGUUUGUAAUUCCUAGAUGUAGUUAACUCUGCAUCUCCAUAUCAUUGUUUCCACCUAAAGUUUACAAGGAAGCUUGCCACCUAAACCAUCAUUUCUAUGUUGAGUUGCCGGCUGUCAUGAGAUUUCCGUUGCAUGUAUCCUUCUAAACCAAUCAGGACCAUGGUCAUUUGCAUGAGGUCCUCUCCUUGAUGUAAAUUGCAAAAUCCUUUAGUUUUUUCAGUUUCUGUUCUUCCAUUUAAAGUUGUUGCCUCAUCUAUCUCCUUUGAGGAGGACACAAGGCCUGCAAGUAAUAUUUUCCAAAUUUUUUAUUAUUUAUGAUUGCUAAUAACCUUAUUUCUCUACAGUAUAUUCUAACUAGCUAGGCACAGGCAUAAGGAUGAGUCAUUUGUUAAAAUUAUUGCUUUCAUUAAUGCAUAAUUGGGAUCUGCAAAAUAUUGGUAUUUGUUCAUAAAUCACUUUGUAUCACUCAAAUUAUUUGGUUGCCCUUAGUUCAUGAACCAUCCUCAUUGGUCACUGCACUGUUAGGCCCUUACGUUCAUGCAUCUGCAUAAAGCUUUCAUGGUAACAUUCUGGAUAUAAUCUGGUUGCAUAAGCUCUACUUAUAUCUGCCUUUCUUCUAUAAUCUUGUUGAUUUUGCAGAUUAAUGCCAGUUUUCAAGUUUUCAUAUGUUGUCAAGAAAGAAAGAAUUUUCUUACAUUCACAAGGCCAUACCUAAAUGGCUUGGUUCAGUGUGUUGGUUUCAUAUAUUGUAUUAACUAUGGCAUGUCAAUAGUGGUGCUCCCAAUGAUGAGCUGCCUAGCCAAAUGGAGGGUGGGGCACAGAGAGAGCCACAGAGAGCAUUGCCCGAACCAUGAA
Molecule: long non-coding RNA, 3687 nt
Filed under: Setaria italica (foxtail millet)
Lineage: Eukaryota; Viridiplantae; Streptophyta; Magnoliopsida; Poales; Poaceae
Description: long non-coding RNA (SITA_LNC001915)
Source: RNAcentral